ACCAAAACUCUUUUAUAAAAUUAAGGGCUAUUUUUCCUUCAAGGAGAACGUGAAUUAGGGUUUCUCCACAUCUCCACUCUUAUCUUUCUCCUUCGUUUCCAAGUCUAUCAGGUCUCUCCAAGAACCACUAGUCAGCCUAUUCUUCUAUGGCGGAGCACUUGGCUUCGAUCUUCGGCACCGAAAAGGACCGGGUCAACUGCCCCUUCUACUUCAAGAUCGGUGCUUGUCGCCACGGCGAUCGCUGUUCUCGCCUCCACAAUCGCCCCACGAUCUCUCCGACACUACUCCUGUCGAACAUGUACCUGCGCCCGGACAUGAUCACCCCGGGCGUGGACGAGCAGGGCCAGCCCAUCGACCCCCGCAAGAUCCAGGAGCACUUCGAAGACUUUUACGAGGACAUCUUCGAGGAGCUCAGCAAGUUCGGCGAGAUCGAGAGCCUCAACGUCUGCGACAACCUCGCCGACCACAUGAUCGGCAAUGUCUACGUUCAAUUCAAGGAGGAGGACCAGGCCGCAGCCGCCUUGCAGGCCCUUCAGGGCCGUUUCUACUCAGGCCGCCCCAUCAUCGCCGAUUUUUCGCCGGUCACCGAUUUCCGCGAGGCCACGUGUCGGCAGUUCGAGGAGAACAGUUGCAACCGAGGCGGGUACUGCAACUUCAUGCAUGUGAAGCUGAUUGGAAGAGAGCUAAGGAGGAAGCUUUUUGGAAGGUUCCGUGGGUAUAGGAUUAGCCGGAGUCGUAGCCGGAGUUCGAGCCCCCGUCAUAGGCGAGAGCAUAGGGACUAUAGGGACCGGGAUCGUGAUUAUGGAGGGAAUGUGAAGCGAUUGAGCAAGGACAGGUAUGACAGGGACGGUGGUGGUGCUGGAAGGAGAAGGCAUGCUACCCCGAGGCGGAGCAGGAGCCCCGUAACCGGGAGGGAAGGUAGUGAGGAGCGGCGAGCUAGAAUUGAACAGUGGAAUCGAGAAAGGGAGGAGAAGCAGUAAUGUGUGGAAUCCUUUGCAUUUGGUACGGGCCAGAUCUGAUACCCUGAAAAUCUUGCCGAGCUCAAAGUUGAUCAGAAAACGGGUCCUGGCCCAGAUUUGGCAGGCAGCCUUGAAAUUUUGGGUCGUCGAACUCAAAGUUGGGCAGAAAACGGGUUCCUGGUUUUAUUUUCUGAUAAGAGACGUAGGGUUUGUUUGGAUUCAAAGAUAAGAUAAGAUAAUUUUAAAUGAAAGUUGAAAGUUGAAUAAAAUAUUAUUAAAAUAUUAUUUUUUAAUGUCAUUAUUGUUUCGGGAUCUGAAAAUGUUGAAUUGGAAUUUUAAAAAAUUGAAUUAUUUAUUAUAUUAUGUGUGGAAAUUUAGAAAAGUUGUAAUGAUGAUAUGAGAUGAAACACUCUAAAUACACACAAGCUCUUAACCUGUUUUUUUCUCUCUCUAAUGUUUUUUCCAUUUAUUCUUUUAGGGCCAUUGAAGUCAAAGUUGUUCAGAAAACAGGGCAAGUUGUCUGGAAAAGCAAAAAACAGGUUGCGACUACCUUCUUGAUGACUCAUUGGCUACAUGACAGUAUGGGCCAGAAACUAGUUGAGGUGUGCCUCUUAAUGAACUAUUUUGUGUGUUAUAGGAAAACUAGUUGACAACUUGACCCCUUCUAUUAGAAACACCAUUUUGUCCUGUUAUUCUCUCGAAUUCAAAAUUCACUUCCCUCCUUUGCCCUUGCGCAUAAGAUAUAGGGUUCUUUCCAUGAUGAUACAGCCAAGGGAAGUUUUUUCGAGAUGAAAAUGUACAACUUCUUGAAAUGUUCUUUCAUUGGUUCUGAGACGAAGCCAAGGAUCAAAAGGGCCAUAAUUUCAGAAACCCCGAUCUUAACGGGUGCUCAAGUCUUCACAAGGUUCGUCCGAGUGAUUACCUGUGAGGAGUUCUGGGCUGAUGUUUCAGGAAAUGGUGAAGUUUGUAGGGUGUAUUCUCGACGCAUGGCAUUAGUGACAGCCACUGUUCGUCACAAAUAGCACACAGUUAGAUUCGUAAAGCUGGCUUCCCAUUUGCACCACAAACUCUCCCAUAUCUUUUUUGGAUAUUUCUUUAAGGAAGAUACUACUGCCUGGUUUUGCUUCCUCA
Carya illinoinensis is the source of this 2090-nucleotide RNA transcript. It is a transcript of the gene named splicing factor U2af small subunit B-like, with no coding region annotated. The record is from RefSeq and is a predicted model, not a curated record. NCBI's taxonomy places the organism in Eukaryota, Viridiplantae, Streptophyta, Magnoliopsida, Fagales, Juglandaceae. The transcript is spliced from 4 exons.